AUUAUCUGCACGUCGUCAACAGCCUAGUCGGCAACAUUACAAUAAUAACGUUGCCACAGGAACAAAAUACUAAAUAUGAAUACAUAUCGAUAAAGCAUAUUGUAUGUUUGCAAUUACAUGAUAUGUAUUUUGAACCACGAAGUAAUUUUUGCUAGAAGUAUUUCAAAGCGUGUGUAUACACUCGUUAUCUUGUUCCGCUCUACUCUAAUUUCCGGCCUCGCUUGUAACUACAUCUAGCGACAUUACUCAAUAGGUCGUUUGGAAACGGGUAUGUCGAGACGAAAUGGACUCUGCUGUGCUUCAAGAAACGCUUAAAAGAUUGGAUCGACUUGAGCAAAUCUUAGAGAAGGUUGAGAAUAACACCAGGGCUGCUCCACAGGAGAUAUGGCACGUUCAGCGAGAAGACAAGGUGAAUAUCUCAGUACGGAUUAACAUUCAGACUGUUGGUGACAUAGAUAAUGUGAAUCAGCAGUUUUAUUUGUACUUUAUUUUGUUCUUGGAAUGGAGGGAACCGCGUUUGAAGGGAAUGAGUCGAGAGGAUGUCGUGUGGAAUGAACAAUGGGAUCCAAGGAUUAAUUUCAAAAAUCAACUGACCGUGGAGAGACUGGAAAAGAAACAUAAAUUGAAAUAUGAACCCAGAAGAUAACAUCCCAAAAGUGAACCUGUCGAUUUAUGUCGCUGGGACUUUCAAGGAAAUCUUCGAGUUGGAUGAUUUUUCAUUUGAUUACCAGAACUUGACAAUACAGUUGGACUCAGACUGGCCAGAAUCUAUUCUGUCGCUAGAAAAAAGUAAUGAAAUGAAAGAUAGUGUUGUGUUACGGACAUUCGCAGAUUGUCACGAAUGGACGCGCUCUGUUCUCAUGCGGUGGCUGGUAGAGUUGAAUCAAACCAACACCAUGCCGGCUCGCACAAGAGAUACCCACAUUAUUCAAUCACGUGCCAUGUCAAGAGAAAACCUAACUUCUACACGUGGAAUGUUGCGCUAAUUGUGAGCCUUAUCAUGGCACUGACGUUUUGUUCCUUCGCUGUUGACAUCACUUCACCGGAAGAAAGACUUGGUGUAACUUUAACUUUGCUUCUAACAUCGGUCGCAUUCAAGUUUGUUGUAGCCCAGAGUCUUCCUAAUGUCAGCUAUUUAACAUACUUGGAUCAAUAUGUGAUAAGCUGUAUGGUAAUCCAGUGUGUUAUAGCCAUUCUUAACACCAUUGGAGGAAAGGUCUCGGCGGAAAAUCAAGACAAAUUCGAUACAGUUUCUUUGUGUAUUCUCGGAGGAAUUGUUGUUAUCCUUCAUCUUAUUUUUACAGUCCUGCUCACGAUAAAGGUAAAAAUGGUUAGGAAAAUAAAUACGUUCUUGAAUGGAGUGACAAAAGAAUAUGAUAGAUUAGCUGCAGAAUAUGAUGAAAAAUAUCAACAGAAAAAGUCUUUGAAAUCGCAGAAUAAACAGAAAACUGAAGAAAAUGCUCAAGAGGAUGUGUCAAAAAACGCUCUUCAAAAUAGGAAAAAGGACAAGAAAAUGAGCCUGGUGGAGGAUUUUUACCAAGGCAAUGAUCUCUCAAACCAAUUUCAUUAUUCUCUGCAGGUGGAUCCAUAGUCUAUCUUUGCGUUCUCUUCUGUUAAACAUUCCUCUGAAUUCAAGGCACAUUGCAUACAAUGAAGUUUCGUCGCCGCAGGACGUAAUUUUGCAAUUUUCC
Molecule: unclassified non-coding RNA, 1691 nt
Filed under: Dendronephthya gigantea
Lineage: Eukaryota; Metazoa; Cnidaria; Anthozoa; Malacalcyonacea; Nephtheidae
Description: uncharacterized LOC114530689, transcript variant X4
Source: RNAcentral